Pelobates cultripes (western spadefoot toad) is the source of this 264-nucleotide non-coding RNA. Lineage: Eukaryota; Metazoa; Chordata; Amphibia; Anura; Pelobatidae. The record is from the annotation of a GenBank genome assembly.
UUCAUUAUUUUCACUUUUAUUGCACAAACUCCUCAGGAGCGGUUUAACACUUAAAAAAUAUUAACAACAUUAGUUUAACAACAUUGACUUGCAUGCUUACCCUUCAUAAAUACAACAGUGACAAUAAUUUAACAUUCAAUAACUGUUAGAGACCCAUUUGAAUACUUUGAUAAGUGACGUAACCCUGGUGAGCGAACUGCACACGUCAGGUUUUCUCUUAGAAAGUAAGAAAGAGUUUGCAUAUACUAAGCACUCAUUCAACUU